This is a non-coding RNA of Pelmatolapia mariae (spotted tilapia), 757 nucleotides long. The record is from the annotation of a RefSeq genome assembly. NCBI's taxonomy places the organism in Eukaryota, Metazoa, Chordata, Actinopteri, Cichliformes, Cichlidae.
AACUAAUUACUGUCUUUGACCAAAAGGCAUAGGCACAGUUUUUAAUGAUAUAAAUGAAUCCCAAAGUGUAACUGUGUAACUGAGAGCAGAAAGGAGGAGGAGAGAUUCAGGGAGGAGCUGAGCUGUUACUGAACUAUAGAAGAGAGAAAAACCUCCACAUUCAACAGAGUUCAACACAAAACAAACUUUAUGUUCCUCAACAUGCUGUCAUUACAUCACUGUGUGUUUCCUCUGAUUCUUCUCACUCUCACAGUUAUCAGAUGUGAAGAACUCGCUCCAACCAAAGAAGAAGAAUUUACUUUAGAAGGCAGCACUAUUACUCUGUCCUAUAAAUACUCCAAAGCUGCUGUUGGAACUGUUUACUUCUUCUGGUAUCGACAGUAUCCUGGAAAACCACCAGAGUUCCUGAUCUCUCAUUUUGGAACAGGAGAGAAAAUCUCAGACCCAGUUCCUGGAAUCACUUUUAAUGUGAGUGGAGACAAAACACUGAUGACUCUUCAGAUCUCCUCUGCUGCAGUGACAGACUCUGCUGUGUACUACUGUGCUCUGCAGCCCACAGUGACAGGAAACACCAAAACUCUGUACAAAAACCUUUGGAGCAAAGACAACAGAAUACUCCACAACAUCCACUAGAGGGAGCCACACACUGUUAAACCUCUGAUUCUUGUGUCAUUGGACUGAUGACAAAGACAACAGAGAAAUGAAGCAGUAAAGAUCAGAGACAGAGACAGAGCUGCUGUGGAAGCACAAAACUAUU